Molecule: long non-coding RNA, 793 nt
Organism: Asparagus officinalis (garden asparagus)
Lineage: Eukaryota; Viridiplantae; Streptophyta; Magnoliopsida; Asparagales; Asparagaceae
Exons: 9
Source: RefSeq, a predicted model, not a curated record
CCCUCCCCCUCUCUAUUUCAGCCGAGAGAAAGAAGAAAAUUCCAGAGAGAGAGAGAGAGAGGAGAGAGAGAGAGAGAGGAAGAUGGAAGCAAACCUAUUCGAGAAAAUUGCGCUUUCUGAGUUCGUGAAGCGGAAAUUGUGAACCCUAACAAGUCUUUGAGAGCGCUGAGUUUACAGAAAUAAAUGGUGUUUUUGGAUGGGUGCCACGGUAAAUGUGAAACUUAACAAGUCUUAUGAGGAGAUAAUCAAAUUGAAAAGGGUUGUGAAUUGAUUGAGGUCGAAGGCUGGAACAAGUACGGCUGGUUGAAUUUUGUGGCAUCUAUUUUUAGUGCUGAAAGCAGAAUUUUUGCCUUGUUGUAUCGAUGAAUUCCAGUAAUACAUAUGCAGCAUGGACCUAGUGAUUCUGUCUCUAGCAUUGGUUUCAGUCCAAGGUUAGAUGCUGGGAUGUCAUGAUAGCAGUCAUGCGAAAAGAGUCCUUAUAUCCAUGAGCAACCGGUCAUGUUCUGUGCUCUACAUUGAAGGAUGAUGAUUCUACAAUGUUUACUAGAGGAUGUGAUAAGACUGAGAAACUGUGGCCCUUGAUGUCUGGCGGCCAACUGAUACAAGAUGUAGUGCACGAUGCAUCUAUCAAAGAAGUUGCUCUGAUUGAACAGUUGAAUUACCUAGUUACGGGAAGCUGGGAUAAGACACCAAGGUGGAACCUCAACUCAGUGGCUCCGUCUCCUGCCUUAGUUGUAGUCCUAAGUUAAAUUACUCGGUGGCCACUUCGUGGGAUAACCAGAUUAGGUGUGGG